Long non-coding RNA from Siniperca chuatsi (mandarin fish), 3957 nucleotides. RefSeq lists it as uncharacterized. The transcript has 3 exons. The record is from RefSeq and is a predicted model, not a curated record. NCBI's taxonomy places the organism in Eukaryota, Metazoa, Chordata, Actinopteri, Centrarchiformes, Sinipercidae.
AUCUCCUCUUUGGGUCAACAAGUGAGAUGUUAAAACAAUUGAAAUGUGCAUAUGUUGUAUAUGUUUUAAGACACUGGCCUCUGACUCUGACUUUGGCCUCUGUUGUUGUUAUUUUUCUGAAUAAAGUUGAGGGGAAAAAGGUUGCAAUGAUCAUGAAAUGGGCUGAACUCUCUUACUCCUGCGAUCAGUUUAGUUAUGUUCAUUUCAUUUCAAUGAGCUAAUUCUUUUUUCUCUGUUUUGUUUGUUUUUGGGUCUCAAGUAGAAUUGAUUAUAAAAUAAGGAAAACUUUUCUUUGUUCGUAGAAAUUCUGCGUGUGUGUUUGGGUGUGUGUGAGAGAGAAAUAAAAAAGGUUUCAGUCAAUUUUCAUCACCAGGGUUUUCCAAUUUCCUGAACUCAUCCCAUUUACAUUAACACGAUCUCGUUUGUUGAGCCAUACUCUCCCAUUACCUCAGCCACUUUAGUGACAAUGAAACACAACAGCUUUGCAAUCCUGAACAAUAUGUGUAGAAUUUCCUUCCUUAUCUUGUGCCUCAUCCUCUCUUAUCCUUUUUUUUUUUUCUUGCAAAGGGAAACUCUGCCUGAUACGAUCAUGGGAAAUCCUGUUCCAAACCUUUGGACACUUGACAAACAUCAUUUGUUCAAGCAUUUAGUGAUACAACAGGGAUAUGUAGGAGCAGUGCAAGAAGCUAUAAAAGUUCUUGUGCAUUACUUUGUCUCUGGCAGAGAGCUUCUAGACCUGCUCCUUUUAUGGUAGCUAACCUUCCCUCUGGUCAGCUUCCUUUGUUUGUUUUCUGGUCAACCGAAUCUUUCCUCUCUAAAUGACAAGAGGAUAGAGAAUGUUUGCUUUUAUCCAGAACCUCCUGCAGCCUUUCUCUGUGUCGUUACUACACACUUAAGUGUCUAAUUUAGUUUCUGUAUAUGACUUUAUAGAAAUCAGCUCUGAGGUAUCCAAAUUAAUUCACAUCCAUUUUUAUGAAUGUGGCCUCUCUCAAAAUGAUGGAGGCUAUUUAGUAGGACCAACAUAACAGUUUCCUUUUAACUUUUUGCUGGUACACAACAGCCAUGGCUGCCUCAAAGUGUGCAGCUCCCAGAUUUAUCAGCAGUCUUGAUGUUGUUUGCUUCACAUCCACUCAACAGUCAGCAGAAGUACCCAACCCAGGAACCUGAGAGCCCCAUUUCAGCUGAGACAAAGAUUGCUUUCGGCCAUUUGUCAAUGAUGACAAGCCCUGUAAUCCAUCUUAAACUCAGACCCGGAGGCUGCCUCUUCAGAGCUGUUUAGUUAAAAUAAGCAAACAAUCUCAAAACUAAAGGGCAGGGAAAAAAAUCAUACAGGGGCACCAACAUGGGAAACAAGAGAAGCUUGCACAGAAUGAAGCAGGACAAACCAACCCUGUGACGUGCUUCCUGCAAGGAGCCGAGGGCCUACGGAUGACUCAUUUGCAGCAAUUGGGGUUCUCACCUGCUGGGUCAUUUCCACCCUUUAAAGAAACAAAGAGGACAGGGGGUAGACAGCAGAACAGAAGCUUCUCUGGGAAAACACAAACUCCAAACAGUAGAAAUCACUGGAGUGCAGAGUGGUCGAGACCCAGAGCAGGACCCGGCAUUCCUCCGUCUCAAGCCCGCUGCCUCCACUACACACUCAGCGACUACACACGGGCGAGAGAGGGAGUGAAAGAAAACUGAGAAAAAAAGGCUUUCCUUAGCCCAUGAGCACAGCACUGUGAGCCCUGGUGAGACAAACAGAAGUUGUGUGUAAUCAUCAGUCACAAAGGAAUGGCACACACAGGGGUGCAUGGUCAGGACACUCUAGUCAGUACAUCAGAAGUGGAAAUCUUAAAGGAGCCAAGUUCAAGGGUAAAAUCAAGUGUGAGAUAAAGGUGAUUAUUUGAUGGGCCAGGGGCUUAUACUUAAAUUUAAAUACUUGUUUGUGAAUUACACAGUUUGUCUGCAACUGCAAAUUUUAUUUAAAGAAAUGGUUUGACAUUUUGGGAAAUAUGCUUCUUUACUUUCUUGCCGAGAGCUAGAUGAGAAGAUGAAUACCAUUCUCUUGUCUGCCGGAUAAGUAUAGAGCCACAGCCAACAGCCAGUUAGCUUAGCUUAGCAUAAAGACUGUGAGCAGAGGGAAAAAGCUAGCCUGUCUAAAGGUAAAAUAAAUCCACCUUCUAUCACCUCUAAAACUGCCGUCAGUAUACAUUAGUGUCCCACAAUGCAAUUUGUCACAUUUUAUAGAUGUAAAAUAUGCAGUCGCACAAAACUACAUCUGUCAUCACUGACAGGGUGAUGAUGCUGGUUUAUGUGUCCAGAAUCUCUACCUGCUCACUAUAGGGUAAACUACAUAUAGGGAUUAGUGAAUGAACAAGGGAGUGAUUUCAGACACAGCGCAGGAAGUCACUGCCGGCCAAGAACAAACCCAUAAAACAGCAAUUUGUUGUUUUUACACUUCUGUUUUUGUACAGAUUAGAUGAAAAUAUAUAAUGUGUUAAUUAGUGAGCUAGGUGGAUUUUGUUACCUUUGGACAGAGCCAGGCUACCUGUUUCCAGUCUUUAUGCUAAGCUAAGCUUACCAGCUAAGGCUGUAGCUUCAUACUGAACGGACAAGUAUGAGAGGGGUAAAAUCAAGUGUGAAUACUCCCAGUACAGAUAAAGGAAAUACUUGUUUAUAAGUUACCCAGUAUGUAGCAACUGCUAAUCUAAUUUGAUGAUUAUGAGAAAAACAGGUUAGAGAUUUUAUUAGGGAUUAAUUGGGUUUGUUGUGUGGUUGAUAGCUGGAGGUUUCCCCCUGUCAGCAGGUUGUGAAACAUUGUGAAACACACUCUUAUAACAUGUUGCAGGGUUUUGUAGUCCCUGGGAACUCUGUGGGGGAGGGGAUGGUGCUUUUCCUGCUUCUGUUUUCUUUUUUCAGUCUCAUUCCCAAAAUGAUUGCCCCCUGAUAUUCCCAUACGCCCUGUGCAGGAUGUAUCAUAUUAAAUAAAGGGUGAAAAGAGGACAUUCUUGCAAUUUGUCCACAAGCAAUUUUAAGAGGGCUCUUUCCCCAAUUUUAUGUUAAAUUAUAGACCCAUACACCUUGUACCAUGCCCAAGUCACAUGGCAGCCUCGAAGAUUUGGUCAUAAUUUACUGACCUUGAAUGGCUGAACAAUGUAGUUGUCUGCUAUUACUCCAAACCAUAAGGACUGUGCUUCACCCCAAAGGAAAUGAAAACAUCAACACAGUGGUUUACAGCUUUAUUUACAUUAAUAUACAAUCUCUUUCAAAAAGCAUGAAAUCCAGAAUGCAUUGACUGGCCUCUCUGUUGUUUUCUGUAUGUUACAUGGUUGUUGGUUUUUUUAUACAUACUGUAAUCCAGAUAGAAACUUCAUAAUGCAUAUUUUACUUCAUUGAACAACAUGAAACUUCUCGUGUGUAAAGCACAUUGUGAGGGGUCAAACAAUUGGAAUUGUUACCUCUGUGGCAGCGAUACAGAAAUCCAGAGAGGAUGUUGGGUUGAUUUUCCUACAACACAAGACCCAAUUAACACUACAUCAGCAGGGGGAGAGAGAUGUUAGGCUGUGUUGUCACUAUUAGUCUCAUACUUCCAUCAAAACAGAGCAACAGAGCUCGUAUCACCACCAACAGAUCCCCUCUGAUAGCUUUAGGAUGGAAAGAAAAGCAGCACACCAGUGAUAUCUGGACAACACGACAGGAUGUUUCGACUGAAAGCACCCGUAAAAGCAGAUACACUUUCUUUCUGCCUUUCUGUUUUAACAGCAGACCCCCAAAAAAUAAAGACCAUGAGUGUAAUUAUUUCUAAUGUUUAGAUUUUUUUUACCAUUAUAAGAAAACAGUCGGGCAUUAAAGGAAUAGGUUUACAUUUUCGGAAAUACGCUUAUUUGCUUUCUUGCAGAAUUAAAUGAGAAGAUGGAUACCACUCUCAUGUCUGUUCGGUAAAUACAAAGCUACCACCAGCAACCGGUUAGCUUA